GACGAAGGAUGCAAGCGUUAUCCGGAUUUAUUGGGUUUAAAGGGAGCGUAGGUGGCCUUAUAAGUCAGUGGUGAAAGACUGUCGCUUAACGACGGAAUUGCCAUUGAUACUGUAGGGCUUGAGUAUAGUUGCUGUGGGCGGAAUAUGACAUGUAGUGGUGAAAUACUUAGAGAUGUCAUAGAACACCGAUUGCGAAGGCAGCUCACAAAACUAUAACUGACACUGAGGCUCGAAAGUGCGGGGAUCAAACGGG
Molecule: ribosomal RNA, 253 nt
Filed under: uncultured bacterium
Lineage: Bacteria
Description: partial 16S ribosomal RNA
Rfam family: Bacterial small subunit ribosomal RNA
Source: RNAcentral